CACUGAUUAUAAGUAAGAUUUGUGAAAAUACAGUAUGCCAAAAGAAAAGAUACUCUAAUAUACAUGUGUAAAUCUAAAUUUAUUAUUACUAAUAGUUAUUAAGGCUUGAGAUCAAAUAAUUGAUAGAUAUUGUUAUUAAGAAUCUUAGUCCCUCUGUCUUAGUGAAUUGAUUUCUAUUGCUUUUUUCCUCUACUGGUGUUAGACUUUAUCCUGUUUGCACAAUAAUUUUCUGUUGGUAAAUGACCUGGCAUAAAUGGAUUUAAAAAAUAUUUUCCCUUCAUGUACCAGGAAUUCUCGGGCAUGUUUUUUAAGAUAAAUAUUCUAUGCUAAUAUACUAAUUUUUUGGCAAGAAAAUUAGCACCUAUAUUUUAGUUCAAUAGUUCUGUGAUAAAUGAAGUAUAAUUAAACAUUCAGAUUCUGCAACAUGCACUU
RNAcentral lists this long non-coding RNA (432 nucleotides) under Bos taurus (domestic cattle). RNAcentral's name for it is "long non-coding RNA NONBTAT001288". Lineage: Eukaryota; Metazoa; Chordata; Mammalia; Artiodactyla; Bovidae. The record is from RNAcentral.